ACGACGCUGGCGGCGUGCUUAACACAUGCAAGUCGAGCGGAGAUUAUAUUGAAGAUUUAUCGGAUAUAUAUCUUAGCGGCGGACGGGUGAGUAACGCGUGGGCAAUCUGCCUCAUACAGGGGGAUAACACUGGGAAACUAGUGCUAAUACCGCAUAAAAUAAUGAAGUGGCAUCACUUUAUUAUCAAAGGAGCAAUCCGGUGUGAGAUGAGCCCGCGUCCGAUUAGCUAGUUGGUGGGGUAACGGCCUACCAAGGCGACGAUCGGUAGCCGAACUGAGAGGUUGAUCGGCCACAUUGGGACUGAGACACGGCCCAGACUCCUACGGGAGGCAGCAGUGGGGAAUAUUGCGCAAUGGGGGAAACCCUGACGCAGCAACGCCGCGUGAGCGAUGAAGGCCUUCGGGUCGUAAAGCUCUGUCCUCAAGGAAGAUAAUGACGGUACUUGAGGAGGAAGCCCCGGCUAACUACGUG
This 471-nucleotide ribosomal RNA is filed under the name uncultured bacterium. Its description in RNAcentral is "bacterial SSU rRNA". It matches the Rfam family "Bacterial small subunit ribosomal RNA", at positions 33 to 507 of the family's 1533-position model. The record is from RNAcentral.